GUGGAGAGCAGCGAACGGCUGAGGAACGCGUAGGUGACCUGCCCUUUGGUGGGGGACAACUCCGGGAAACCGGGGCUGAUACCGCAUAAGUUCUUCUGGUUGCGGCCAGAAGAGGAAAGUCGUAAGACGCCGAAGGAGGGGCCUGCGUCCCAUCAGGUAGUUGGGGGGGUAAUGGCCCACCAAGCCGACGACGGGUAGCUGGUCUGAGAGGACGAUCAGCCAGAGGGGGACUGAGACACGGCCCCCACUCC
This 251-nucleotide ribosomal RNA is filed under the name uncultured bacterium. Its description in RNAcentral is "partial 16S ribosomal RNA". It matches the Rfam family "Bacterial small subunit ribosomal RNA", at positions 88 to 339 of the family's 1533-position model. The record is from RNAcentral.